This 1317-nucleotide long non-coding RNA is filed under the name Suricata suricatta (meerkat). RNAcentral's name for it is "lncRNA (ENSSSUG00005007972.1)". The record is from RNAcentral. Lineage: Eukaryota; Metazoa; Chordata; Mammalia; Carnivora; Herpestidae.
CCCCACCCUCAACCCAAUGACUGAGGGAUAACAGACCUCACCAUCAAGCUGCUCCUGCUUCACAGAAAGCACUCAGCACAUGACAUGGCUCUGGCUCCUGUUAUAAUGAAGCUGUUCACUUAACUUUGUUUUCUCCCUUGAGUGAUGCCUCUGCACACUGAGCCUCUUCACAUGUCCCUCUAGCAACAUUCACUGAUCCUUCAGGAAUGAGAACCAACCUGGAUCUCCUGAAAACAUUCUGAGAUGAAGAAUUGUGAGCAUAAUGUUGGGUGGGGAGCACUCUCAGAAGAUACACUGCAAAGAGUAGGUGGAACACUGUUACUGAAAGUGCUGUUGUUCUCUCCUGGGAAGGAAAGCAGAUAUCCCCCCAUGCCUCCAUGGGACACUGCGAGGAAGAAAAUGAGUGUUCUUCUCCAUCCUGCCCCCAGCAUCUCCAACAGCCAAAUGAGGGAAAAUGAGGACUAUGUAGGCCUAGUUUCUUCCGCAAAGGCAAGGAACUGACAAGCAACAAAGACAGGUCUUGAGCCCCUAGCACUCUGACCACAGAGUGCACAUCAUAUUUACUCUUCACUGUCCUGGAAACCUUGCAGUUGGACAAGUUUGAUGAACACUGAAAGGCAAACAUUUCUAGAAGACAAAUUCUUGAAUGUUCUUCUGGAAAUGUUUUCAUGCCCUAACCAGAUUCUCUUUUUCCCGUAAUUUCUCAUCAAAUGUGCUAAAAACAUGUCAUUCAAACCAUUUCUUUCUGAGCCAAGUUAAGAGAUGGAGUAAACAACAAAAAAGAAAGGAAAAAAUUGUAAUUACAGUUCAUCUCACAACAGUGUAUUUAAAAUUUGACUCAAUCUGACUUUGGUAUAUUUCUAUUAUUCAAUAAGUACUCAUUAUAUUGUAUAACAGGGUAAAACAUCUUCUGUUCAUAGAGUUACCAUUUGUGCCAAAAGCACUAAUAUUUUGCUUUCCUAAAUAUCAGAUUCAGUAACAGAUGUUACUUUAUUCUCUUAUUUGUAUUUUGGCAUCAGUCUUCAUUCAACAGGUAUCCCAAUAUGGAACUGUUGUUAGUUUACUUUCCACUAAAUAUAUACACAUAAUUAAUAGGUGCUGGGUCUUAAAAUGUUUACGUACUGUUUAUUAACAAGCUCAAAUUGUAGACCAUGAAUAAACUUGACUGCAUUCUGCAAAAAGUAGUUCAGAGUCUUGAACUUCCUAGUGAGAGUAAAAUUAUAUCAUCUUCUGCCCUGGAAGACAAUUUUAUAUUUUAUAUACAUGUAUUUUGUAACCACUGCCCUUGUUAUUUACUAUUUGUGCUGUUAUGGAAAA